Molecule: long non-coding RNA, 271 nt
Organism: Nothoprocta perdicaria
Lineage: Eukaryota; Metazoa; Chordata; Aves; Tinamiformes; Tinamidae
Exons: 3
Source: RefSeq, a predicted model, not a curated record
CUGUAUUGAGUGGAUAAUUGAAUCUGUGCUCUGUUGAUGAGAUUAACCAGAGGUAAUGCAUUGUUGUGAUGCUGUCAUCCGGAUUCUUGAGAAAUGUGCUGACACCGUUUGUUCUUUUGGCACAGGCUCAGCUGAGCCCUUCUGGCAUCGCUGCAGUGAAGCCAGUGCCUAGGAACUGGCAAAGUGUUUCCAUGGAAAUGAAUGGAGGUCUCAGAUGUAGAAAGCAAGCGCAAGGACAAGAUGGGAAGGAGAACAGGGAUUUCCAGUGAUU